This 299-nucleotide signal recognition particle RNA is filed under the name Aotus nancymaae (Ma's night monkey). Its description in RNAcentral is "Metazoan signal recognition particle RNA (ENSANAG00000000641.1)". It matches the Rfam family "Metazoan signal recognition particle RNA". Rfam says of the family: The signal recognition particle (SRP) is a universally conserved ribonucleoprotein. Lineage: Eukaryota; Metazoa; Chordata; Mammalia; Primates; Aotidae. The record is from Rfam by way of RNAcentral.
GCCAGGCAUGGUGGUGUGUGCCUGUAGUCCCAGUAUUUGGGAGGCUGAGGUGGGAGGAUCACUUGAGCCCAGGAGUUCUGGGCUGUAGUGUGCCAUGCCGAUCGGGUGUCUGCACUAAGUUCGGCAUCAAUAUGGUGACCUCCCAGGAUCGGGGGACCAUCAGGUUGCCUAAGGAGGGGCGAACCGGCCCAGGUCAGAAACAGAGCAGGUUAAAACUCCCAUGCCGAUCAAUAGUGGGAUUGCGCUUAUGAAUAGCCACUGCACUCCAGCCUGGGCAACAUAAAAAAAAAAAGCUACAU